Molecule: long non-coding RNA, 259 nt
Filed under: Elaeis guineensis (African oil palm)
Lineage: Eukaryota; Viridiplantae; Streptophyta; Magnoliopsida; Arecales; Arecaceae
Description: long non-coding RNA (EGUI_LNC002313)
Source: RNAcentral
AGCUCAAUUUGAUUGAGCAUUAAAGUUUAGAUCAAGUUUGAUUGAAUUGAAUUUAAUUAGGUCAGGUCUAAUUAGGUUAUGAGAUGACCUAAUCGGUGAGGAAGAAAUGAUCCUGAUUUGAUUGGAUCUAUUGCUCAAUUAAUUUAUUAAUUUGAUUAAAUUUAAUUGAGAUUAUAAGAGCCUAAUUAGAUUAGAUUCAUCAAAUUUUAUUUGAAUCUAAUUGGAUUGGGUUUGAAAGAAAUCUAAUUGGUUAAACCCU